GGGGGAGUGGCAGAGCGGUCGAAUGCUCCGGUCUUGAAAACCGGCGUGCGUGAAAGCGCACCGUGGGUUCGAAUCCCACCUCCUCCGCCA
This 90-nucleotide transfer RNA is filed under the name Tranquillimonas rosea. Its description in RNAcentral is "Roseivivax roseus tRNA_Ser_TGA". It matches the Rfam family "tRNA". From Rfam's summary of the family: Transfer RNA (tRNA) molecules are approximately 80 nucleotides in length. Their secondary structure includes four short double-helical elements and three loops (D, anti-codon, and T loops). Lineage: Bacteria; Pseudomonadati; Pseudomonadota; Alphaproteobacteria; Rhodobacterales; Roseobacteraceae. The record is from RNAcentral.